AUUGAACGCUGGCGGCAGGCCUAACACAUGCAAGUCGAGCGAGCGGCGGACGGGUGAGUAAUGUAUGGGGACUGCCCGAUAGAGGGGGAUAACUACUGGAACCGGUAGCUAAUACCGCAUACUAUCGGAGACCACAUAUGGGAUUAGAUAGUAGGUGAGGUCAUGGCUCACCUAGGCGACGAUCCCUAGCAGGUCUGAGAGGAUGAUCAGCCACACUGGAACGGAUACACGGCCCAGACUCCUACGGAGGCGGCAGUGGGGAAUAUUGCACAAUGGGCGCAAGCCGGAUGCAGCCAUGCCGCGGGUAUGAAGAAGCCCCUAGGGUUGUAAAGUACUUUCAGUCGGGAGGCGUUACCGACAGAAGAAGCACCGGCUAACUCCGUGCCAGCCGCCGCGGUAAUAC
RNAcentral lists this ribosomal RNA (403 nucleotides) under uncultured bacterium. RNAcentral's name for it is "partial 16S ribosomal RNA". It matches the Rfam family "Bacterial small subunit ribosomal RNA", at positions 30 to 526 of the family's 1533-position model. The record is from RNAcentral.